Molecule: long non-coding RNA, 363 nt
Organism: Tupaia belangeri chinensis (Chinese tree shrew)
Lineage: Eukaryota; Metazoa; Chordata; Mammalia; Scandentia; Tupaiidae
Exons: 2
Source: RefSeq, a predicted model, not a curated record
CUCUUCUCCUCAAACUCUUGCAGCAGCUCGUCGAUCUCGUUCUCCAUGUCUUCUGUGUGCUGAAUCUGGCAAGAACAGCAAAGCCGCAUUUUCUCCUGUAUGCCGGCCGGAUCAUGGCACAACAGCUGGAGCCCUGGCAGCUGCACUGGACUGCAGACAUCUUGGGAACAGAUGUGCUGGGUUGAGCAACCAGGGAGCAAGAACCUGGUUCCCACAUAGCCAACUUCUCCAUGAGCCCAGGCCUGCUCAUCUCUCAGCUUCUUGAACACACCAAACUUCUCCCUUGGUUAAGCCAUUGUUUUUGUUUUCUGUCACUCACAGCCAGCUGAUCUAAACAUGGAGCCCAAGGGCAGAAGGACAAGG